This 460-nucleotide ribosomal RNA is filed under the name uncultured bacterium. Its description in RNAcentral is "partial 16S ribosomal RNA". It matches the Rfam family "Bacterial small subunit ribosomal RNA", at positions 338 to 795 of the family's 1533-position model. The record is from RNAcentral.
CCUACGGGUGACAGCAGUGAGGAAUAUUGGUCAAUGGACGAGAGCCUGAACCAGCCAAGUCGCGUGCAGGAUGAAGGAUCUAUGGUUUGUAAACUGCUUUUAUAUGGGGAUAAAGUGAGAAACGUGUUCCUUUUUGUAUGUACCAUAUGAAUAAGCAUCGGCUAACUCCGUGCCAGCAGCCGCGGUAAUACGGAGGAUGCGAGCGUUAUCCGGAUUUAUUGGGUUUAAAGGGUGCGUAGGUGGUUAAUUAAGUCAGCGGUGAAAGUGUGAGGCUCAACCAUAAAAUUGCCGUUGAAACUGGUUGACUUGAGUAUAUUUGAGGUAGGCGGAAUGCGUGGUGUAGCGGUGAAAUGCAUAGAGAUCACGCAGAACUCCGAUUGCGAAGGCAGCUUACUAAACUACAACUGACAUUGAAGCACGAAAGCGUGGGGAGCAAACAGGAUUAGAUACCCUGGUAGUC